RNAcentral lists this ribosomal RNA (219 nucleotides) under uncultured bacterium. Its description in RNAcentral is "partial 16S ribosomal RNA". It matches the Rfam family "Bacterial small subunit ribosomal RNA", at positions 122 to 334 of the family's 1533-position model. The record is from RNAcentral.
UAACCUACCUCAUAGUGGGGGAUAACAGUCGGAAACGACUGCUAAUACCGCAUAGGACAUAGGAUCACAUGAUCCAGUGAGGAAAGGUGGUGCAAGCUAUCGCUAAGAGAUGGACCCGCGGUGCAUUAGCUAGUUGGUAGGGUAACGGCCUACCAAGGCGAUGAUGCAUAGCCGACCUGAGAGGGUGAUCGGCCACAUUGGGACUGAGACACGGCCCAA